Molecule: ribosomal RNA, 324 nt
Filed under: uncultured eukaryote
Lineage: Eukaryota
Description: partial 18S ribosomal RNA
Rfam family: Eukaryotic small subunit ribosomal RNA
Source: RNAcentral
CCCUUAGAUGUUCUGGGCUGCACGCGCGCUACACUGAUGCGAUCAACAAGUUUUUCCUAUGUCGAUAGACACGGGUAAUCUUUUGAACUCGCAUCGUGAUGGGGAUAGAUUAUUGUAAUUAUUAACCUUCAACGAGGAAUUCCUAGUAGGUGCAAAUCAUCAGUUUGCAUCGAUUACGUCCCUGCCCUUUGUACACACCGCCCGUCGCUGCUACCGAUUGGUUGAUCUGGUGAAUUAUUCGGACUGCCGGCUGAAGGGGUUUCCUCAUCUGCCAGCGGAAAGUCUUGUUAACCCUAUCAACUAGAGGAAGCAGAAGUCGUAACA